Molecule: non-coding RNA, 414 nt
Organism: Melospiza melodia melodia
Lineage: Eukaryota; Metazoa; Chordata; Aves; Passeriformes; Passerellidae
Source: the annotation of a RefSeq genome assembly
GGGCUCCGGGCGGCCGUGACCCUGCUGGAGUGCGGGGGGGACCUCCAGCCCCCCGGGGGGUCCCUGCGCCUCCUCUGCCGAGGGUCCGGGUUCAGUUUCGGCAGUUUAGACAUGUUCUGGAUCCGCCAGAAACCUGGACAGGGGCUGGAAUACGUGGCAAGGAUCUACUACACUGGUGCUUCUACUGACUACGCGCCAUCGGUCAAGGGCCGGGUCACGAUCUCCAGGGACAACGGGCAGAGCUCGGUGACGCUGACCAUGAACAGCCUCAAGGACGAGGAUUCCGCCACCUAUUUCUGUGGGAAAUGUGCUUACACUGGUGGUUGUGGGGCAGGGUCAGAAUGGCCAGGGACAGCCCAGGAGCCAAAAUGGCCCCGAGUGGGCCCCGAGCUGAGGUGUGGGGCCAGGAGCUGA